UGGGAAUGUGAAGGGACUUUUCUAUGAUAUCUUCCAACUCAUUUAUAUGACAUUAGUUAUUUUUAUUUAUGAGGUAUUGUAUUUUAUCAUUUGCUGCAUCAUAUUUUUAUGAUUAUGAUAAGCCCCAUAGAUUAGGGCAAUGAUUUUAGGAUCAUGAUGAGAUCAUGUCAGUGAAAUCUAAAAUCUUGAUAGCCUCAAUCUAAAAUAUUUUUAGUCAUUAGAUUAUCGAGUCGGAGAUCGAUGAUAUCGAUAAGACUGGUACAUCCUAUGUAUAC
This 275-nucleotide long non-coding RNA is filed under the name Elaeis guineensis (African oil palm). RNAcentral describes it as "long non-coding RNA (EGUI_LNC076514)". The record is from RNAcentral. Lineage: Eukaryota; Viridiplantae; Streptophyta; Magnoliopsida; Arecales; Arecaceae.